RNAcentral lists this long non-coding RNA (1078 nucleotides) under Monodelphis domestica (gray short-tailed opossum). RNAcentral's name for it is "lncRNA (ENSMODG00000046304.1)". The record is from RNAcentral. Lineage: Eukaryota; Metazoa; Chordata; Mammalia; Didelphimorphia; Didelphidae.
GCAUAUAUGAUUAGAGCAGGAAGGUACCUUCCUUACCUUACCCAAAAGAAAUCACAGUUCUAAUCUCUGUCCCUAUUCAACUAGGUGCAAUAUAAUUUUUCAUUUUCUGGUCAAAACUGCUAUUCUGUUAGAGGCUACAUAGUGGUAAUUAGUGGAAUGGGUCUCCAUCUACCUUGUAGAGAUCUUGUGAAACUCAUAAAGCUUAUUGGCAUCCUUCUUUAAAGAGUCUAUAGAAGUUCAAAGGACUACUAAAAUGUUAAAUGAAAUUUCUUUCAAUGUGUCAAAGAUAUUUUUUCUUUCUGAGAACAAGAUUUAGGGUGCCUUUGAAGUUUAUAAUUACUUCAAAUUACUUGAGCCACACUAGAUAGUUCCUAGUAAGCAUGCAUGAAGGAUGUUAAUAAAUAUUGAGUCAAUGUUUUCCCUUUGAACUCAGGGAGGCAGAAGGAAUAUUCCAUCCCAACCAUAUAAAGGAGAAAUAUACUCAUCUAAUCCUUACUAGAUUUUCUUCUUAUAGUAAGAUUAUGCAGCAAAAUUGCUCUAGAAAGUAAAAACUAAAUAACUGAGAAUAUACUGUCUCUACUUGACCCUAAACCAGGGUCCUACACUUGAGGAUAAGGCUUCAAUUUAGGGGUCCUGUAAUAAGAAAGAGUCUAGGGUACCCCACAAGACAAGAACACUAUUCAUUUCUAUUGCCAGAAAGCCCCAGAAUUUUGCUUCUUCUUUUCCUUCCUUCCUUCCUUCCUUCCUUCCUUCCUUCCUUCCUUCCUAACGUCCUUCCUUUCUCUUUCUUUCUUUCUUUCUUUCUUUCUAACGUUCUUUCUUUCUUUCUUUCUUUCUUUCUUUCUUUCUUUCUUUCUUUCUUUCUCUUCCUUCCUUCCUUCCUUUCUUUCUUUCUUUCUUUCUUUCUUUCUUUCUUUCUUUCUUUCUUUCUCUUCCUUCCUUCCUUCCUUCCUUCCUUCCUUCCUUCCUUCCUUCCUCUCUAACUUUUACUUAACAAAAUUAAUUAAUUAAUUAAUUAAUUCACAAACUACAAGACAAAAAACACUAAUAUUUGAAACACUUGAAUGGAAAUAAAGUG